GAAGUUGACGGAGCACGCCGCGUGAGUGAUGAAGGUUUUCGGAUCGUAAAACUCUGUUGUUAGGGAAGAACAAGUCCAUAGUAACUGAUGGCACCUUGACGGUACCUAACCAGAAAGCCACGGCUAACUACGUGCCAGCAGCCGCGGUAAUACGUAGGUGGCAAGCGUUGUCCGGAAUUAUUGGGCGUAAAGCGCUCGCAGGCGGUUCUUUAAGUCUGAUGUGAAAUCUUACGGCUCAACCGUAAACGUGCAUUGGAAACUGGGGAACUUGAGUGCAGAAGAGGAGAGUGGAAUUCCACGUGUAGCGGUGAAAUGCGUAGAGAUGUGGAGGAACACCAGUGGCGAAGGCGACUCUCUGGUCUGUAACUGACGCUGAGGAGCGAAAGCGUGGGGAGCGAACAGGAUUAGAUACCCUGGGUAGUCCACGCCGUACACGAUGAGUGCUAGGUGUUACGGGGUCUUCGCCCCUUAGUGCUGACGUUAACGCAUUAAGCACUCCGCCUGCGGAGUACGGCCGCAGGCUGCAACUCCCGAGCAUUGACGGGGGCCCGCACAAAC
RNAcentral lists this ribosomal RNA (558 nucleotides) under uncultured bacterium. RNAcentral's name for it is "bacterial SSU rRNA". It matches the Rfam family "Bacterial small subunit ribosomal RNA", at positions 379 to 930 of the family's 1533-position model. The record is from RNAcentral.